This 219-nucleotide long non-coding RNA is filed under the name Nicotiana benthamiana. RNAcentral's name for it is "long non-coding RNA (NBEN_LNC006623)". Lineage: Eukaryota; Viridiplantae; Streptophyta; Magnoliopsida; Solanales; Solanaceae. The record is from RNAcentral.
GAUACCCAAAAGGGUAACCUUAGUUAAUGAUGGGCUAACUAAGGUUACAUAUAUGUAACCAUGGUUACAAGCUUGUGACUCUUGAGUUAUGUAACGCUUGUGACUCUUGUGUUAUAAUGUGGGGGUUAUGGUUCCCACAUUAGUGCAAGACAAAACUCUUCUUCCUCCCAUUGAAUCAAGAGCCAAAAUACUCCAUUGUUGUCUUGCAAAUAGUGUGNN